AACAUUGCGGUCAGGGCAAUUGGUCAGCGGUCAGGACAAUCGGUCAGAGGUCAGGGAAAUCGGUCAGCGUCCGGGCAAAACAAUCUGUCAGCGGUGCGGUUUGCGUUAUUUGCUUGUGCCCGCAGCGCUUGUGUUCUUUACUUGUAUCAGAUCGCAUCAAUAGUAUGAUAACUAUAGUGCCUUUAUGGGCAAAUUGUCAAGCGGUCGCAAAUUCGCGAAUAGUCAAAUUGCAGGCUGCGUUUACUUUGACCUAACCGCAAAACGCAUCCAGUGUGACAAAUCCUUUAUCCAGGCGAUCUGGGUAUAAAUGUGGCCGAACUUUAGGUCUUCUCUAUCAUUAAAACUCUCAAGCCACGACCAUGAAGACUAUUGUCAGCAUCGUUUUGUUCAUUGCCUGUGCUGUCUUAGCGUUCGCCUCUGCGCUGCCCGGCGUACCAAAGACACAACAAGCAGCGCUAGUAGGAUGAAUCAAGUACAUUGCAUCUGAACAUCAUACUAAACAUCUUCACUAAAUAUGUUGUAAUAAUAAACAGUUUCUCUUAAAA
This is a long non-coding RNA of Ostrinia furnacalis (Asian corn borer), 545 nucleotides long. RefSeq lists it as uncharacterized. The transcript has 2 exons. Lineage: Eukaryota; Metazoa; Arthropoda; Insecta; Lepidoptera; Crambidae. The record is from RefSeq and is a predicted model, not a curated record.